AAUCAACGCUGGCGGCGUGCCUAACACAUGCAAGUCGCACGAGAAAGGGAUUUCGGUCCUGAGUAAAGUGGCGCACGGGUGAGUAACACGUGACUAAUCUACCCUCGAGUGGGGAAUAACCUAGGGAAACCUGGGCUAAUACCGCAUAACACUUACGAGUCAAAGCAGCAAUGCGCUUGGGGAGGAGGUCGCGGCAGAUUAGUUAGUUGGCGGGGUAAUGGCCCACCAAGACGANGAUCUGUAUCCGGCCUGAGAGGGCGCACGGACACACUGGAACUGAAACACGGUCCAGACUCCUACGGGAGGCAGCAGUGGGGAAUUUUGCGCAAUGGGGGAAACCCUGACGCAGCAACGCCGCGUGGAGGAUGAAGUCUCUUGGGACGUAAACUCCUUUCGACAGGGACGAUAAUGACGGUACCUGUAGAAGAAGCCCCGGCUAACUUCGUGCCAGCAGCCGCCGCGGUAAC
RNAcentral lists this ribosomal RNA (467 nucleotides) under uncultured bacterium. Its description in RNAcentral is "bacterial SSU rRNA". It matches the Rfam family "Bacterial small subunit ribosomal RNA", at positions 32 to 524 of the family's 1533-position model. The record is from RNAcentral.